GUGAGUGGCGAACUGGUGAGUAACACGUGGGAAACCUGCCCAGAAGCGGGGGAUAACACCUGGAAACAGAUGCUAAUACCGCAUAACAACUUGGACCGCAUGGUCCGAGUUUGAAAGAUGGCUUCGGCUAUCACUUUUGGAUGGUCCCGCGGCGUAUUAGCUAGAUGGUGAGGUAACGGCUCACCAUGGCAAUGAUACGUAGCCGACCUGAGAGGGUAAUCGGCCACAUUGGGACUGAGACACGGCCCAAACUCCUACGGGAGGCAGCAGUAGGGAAUCUUCACAAUGGACGAAAGUCUGAUGGAGCAACGCCGCGUGAGUGAAGAAGGGUUUCGGCUCGUAAAACUCUGUUGUUAAAGAAGAACAUAUCUGAGAGUAACUGUUCAGGUAUUGACGGUAUUUAACCAGAAAGCCACGGCUAACUACGUGCCAGCAGCCGCGGUAAUACGUAGGUGGCAAGCGUUGUCCGGAUUUAUUGGGCGUAAAGCGAGCGCAGGCGGUUUUUUAAGUCUGAUGUGAAAGCCUUCGGCUCAACCGAAGAAGUGCAUCGGAAACUGGGAAACUUGAGUGCAGAAGAGGACAGUGGAACUCCAUGUGUAGCGGUGAAAUGCGUAGAUAUAUGGAAGAACACCAGUGGCGAAGGCGGCUGUCUGGUCUGUAACUGACGCUGAGGCUCGAAAGUAUGGGUAGCAAACAGGAUUAGAUACCCUGGUAGUCCAUACCGUAAACGAUGAAUGCUAAGUGUUGGAGGGUUUCCGCCCUUCAGUGCUGCAGCUAACGCAUUAAGCAUUCCGCCUGGGGAGUACGGCCGCAAGGCUGAAACUCAAAGGAAUUGACGGGGGCCCGCACAAGCGGUGGAGCAUGUGGUUUAAUUCGAAGCUACGCGAAGAACCUUACCAGGUCUUGACAUACUAUGCAAAUCUAAGAGAUUAGACGUUCCCUUCGGGGACAUGGAUACAGGUGGUGCAUGGUUGUCGUCAGCUCGUGUCGUGAGAUGUUGGGUUAAGUCCCGCAACGAGCGCAACCCUUAUUAUCAGUUGCCAGCAUUAAGUUGGGCACUCUGGUGAGACUGCCGGUGACAAACCGGAGGAAGGUGGGGAUGACGUCAAAUCAUCAUGCCCCUUAUGACCUGGGCUACACACGUGCUACAAUGGAUGGUACAACGAGUUGCGAACUCGCGAGAGUAAGCUAAUCUCUUAAAGCCAUUCUCAGUUCGGAUUGUAGGCUGCAACUCGCCUACAUGAAGUCGGAAUCGCUAGUAAUCGCGGAUCAGCAUGCCGCGGUGAAUACGUUCCCGGGCCUUGUACACACCGCCCGUCACACCAU
This 1326-nucleotide ribosomal RNA is filed under the name Lactobacillus sp. RNAcentral's name for it is "bacterial SSU rRNA". It matches the Rfam family "Bacterial small subunit ribosomal RNA", at positions 91 to 1405 of the family's 1533-position model. Lineage: Bacteria; Bacillati; Bacillota; Bacilli; Lactobacillales; Lactobacillaceae. The record is from RNAcentral.